AACUUGCCAGUCAAGAUGAAAAACUUCUUCUAAUGGAAUCCAGCUUGAAAGCAACUCAAGAGCAGCUAAGUGAGCAAAUAGCAGAAACAGUUCGCCAAGAACAGAACAGUACAAAAUCACAGACGGAGAGCUGAAGACCUUGAGAAAACAUAUUCUAACUUCUGAAGAAGAAAUUAGUGAUUACAAAGACAUGAUGGUGUGCACCAUAUGGAGCUACAACUGAGGCAGAAGCUGUCCCAUCCAUCACAAAAGGUUCACUUUGUUUACCAUUGUCAAACUUAUGACUGAAUAAUUCCCAUUUUGUUUGAAAGAAUCAGGAAAAGUGUGGAGGACUUAAAGCUGGACAAACAUUUUCAGAAUCUUACAGUUUUGAAGGUAAACACAGUUUUCUUUCAAAGUUAAUUCUUUCCAUUCUUCAUAAUUGAUAGAUUAAAAAAAACCCUGACUUUUGCAACUUCAAAUGAGCAGCUUUUUAUUUUCAAAUUCUAAAAAUACCUGAUUUUUAUGUCAAAAUUCUUUCAUUUACCAUGAUGCUUGCUUAGGAAGGAAGCACAGGAAAAGCAGUGAUCAAGGACAUACAUUGAAGCAUGUUGAAUCUUUCCUCCUUUUUUUUUGGUUUUUUGUUUGGUUUUGUUUUGUUUUGUUUUGCUUUUUUAAAUAGGAAGUUUUAAAGCUGAUGAAGAAGAAAACUGUAGGAAAAGAAAUGUCAUUGAGCGAUGAAGACAACUGGAGACUUAGACACUUUCCUGUCCUUUCCUUCAGACAUAAUGAAGAUACUACCUGUAAAUUUUCUGAAUGUCCAGUGUGAGAUGCUGCUGUCUGGUCUGACAGCAGAACUGAACUUCGCUAAAAACUACUGUAGCCAAUGUUAGUUUGCUUUGAACAGUUAAAGGUCUUUACAAAGAAGAAUUAGCAGAAGACAGGAGAAAACAAUGUUCAGUUGUAUCCUGUCUCUGACUGGGAGUUUGUGCCAAGGUCAUUCUCAUUGCAGUGUAGGACAAAAACUCCUGAGCACAUACAAGUUUUUCUGUCUCUGAGUGAUUCAAUAACUGCUAAACUUGCUUAUGAAAAGAGGAAAGCUAAACAAGAAAGUCUAGAGAGCAAUUCCUUUUAGAUCAACAUGGAAUAAUGUUAUUUCAAACUGUUAGUUCAAAAUAAAAGAGAAAUUAAUCUCUGUUUUCAUAUAUCCCAAAUGAGAGCUCUGAUAGAAAGCAUUUCACAAUUUAUUUUUGCCUAAUGUGAGACUCCUUAUCUUCCUUAACCCCAUGUUCCCAAAUCCUUUUACUUCAGCUGCCUAUGCAUAAAAUGAUAAUAGAGAUGUAUUCUCAUAUCAUGGAUGCUGAUAUUUAUGAAACACUCUGACACCAUUGGGUUGAAAAUCAGUGGCUUUAUUUGAGUUGUCUUUUUUGUUGCGUCACAAUGUGAGCUGUGUUUCUCAGUUUAAGUCAUGUAAGCUGCUGUAUAGAGACAUUAUCUGUUGGUUGCAGAUUCAGAAUUUGCCAUUGAACGGAUGAGAAUUUUGUUCCAGGGUCUUGUUUUGGACUUAAUUAUUUUGUGCAGUGUCCAUUAUUUUUAAAAAUAAUUACAUGAGUGUUAAUUUGUAGGUUUUGGAAACUCAGAUAGAGUGAAAUAUAUUUUUUCAUCCAUAUCAGUACUUGAAUAUUGUACUUUAUACGGUAAAAGAUAAAUCAUAAGAAAUCAAAAUGUUUAAGUAUUUGUCCGCUAAGUGAUAAAAGAUAUCACACAAGCUGGAUGUUUAAAGGAAGGGAUAUUACCAAAUUAUAAAUCUAAAAACAUAUAAAUAUGCUUACACAGGUUGGACAGACAUUAUACUUGGCAACAUUAAUUCUGGUGUAUUGGGAAUGCUGAAUAUUUGAAUUUGCCACAGUAAUGUUUUUUUCAGAGCCAUCUUCCAAGUCAAAGAGAAUUCAAGAGGCACCCAACUUAAAAGUAAAAUUGGAUUCACAUCUUUUAUAUGGAUAUUUUUCAGUGGGAACACCUGUGAAGGGGUUCCUUGCUCGGUGUGCUGUAUUUUCUGACUUAAUCAGACCAGUCAAAGAUUUGGCAAGUGGUUUCUCUAGCAGGGAAGCAACAAGGUAGCAAAAAAACCCAGAAUAAGUAAGGGCCACAGCACAGCGCUGACAUUCCCCAAGACACAAGAACUUUUCAGCAGAAUGGAUGUAGAACUUAGGUGAUAGAUCACUCUCUCUCCAUGCACAUUCUCUCACAUACUUAUUUGUUAAUACCUUCCUUAGAAAUAUAGAUAUUAUUUUCAUUUACCUGUUUCAAGAUAAUUUGGCCUUGAGCAAAAACCGAGCAAGACAAAUUUCAAUCCAAACAGAUGAAGCUGGGCAAAGCUCUAGGAAACUCAAAACCAUGUCUAAUAAUGGAAAAUUUUGUGGUAGGUGGAAGAAUGAUAGACAACUCUAAUGGCACCCUGGCAAUCAAUGAAGCUACCAGAAGUGGGGCUUUUUUAUGAAAUCAGCUUGCUGAAACUGGUGAAUGUGCAAAGGAUUUUUUGCUCAUAGACAUCAAAUGAAAUGGAAAAUAACAAAUUCUAAUGAAGAAAAUUUAACCUUGACAAAAACAAAAUACUGCCUUGCCUACCAUUUUCAGAAUUGUAUAUUAGCCCUUCAAGGAUAAACAUCAUCAAUAUCAUGCAAAAAUUCAAAAUAAAUUUUUAAAGCUAGGAAAUAAUCUUCUUAUUUUUCUUCUUUUUUUUUUUUUUUUCAAAAUUGUAGUCAGAGAUUUAUAAGGAAUGGACUUCAAUUUAUCAUGUAUUACUGUCUUCAAUACAAUCCACAACAGCCAGCACUUUCUUCUAGAACCAAGAGGAGGGUUGAGACAAUGCCAUAGUUCUGUUUGAUUUUACCUUUGAUUUUAAGUUAAUUGAUUUACAUUAAUUUGGAAUUCCCUUUCAGAUGGAUAUUUCAGUUGUCAGAAUUCAUAAUGGCAAUAUACAUUCUCUUUUUAAGUAUGGUAGCCCUAAAGAUUACAUGAGAGCCCUUAAGGCUAAAAGAACUUCAGGCCUGCAAAAAAACACUUAAAUGUUUUGAAGUAGAAACUUUUAUCAUCGGACCUGACAGCACUGAAUGCAUUCUUUUCAUUAUAGAUUUUUCACCAGACUUGAGUGUUCUCUUGCAGAUUGUAGUGCUGACUGCUGUUAAUAGUACUCCACUGGAUUCCCAUCAAAAAUGAAUGGAAUCCAUCUGAGUGGCUUGGUUGAUUUGGUUUUGGUUUGGUGAGAUGUUUGUUUGCUUGUUUAGUUGGUUUUUUGUCUGCAGCUGUUGUGGCCCACUUUGCUUGGUGGGUUGAGGGGAAGGUUGCUUGAUUUGCUCUGAGUGGUGCACAGGAAAAAUGACAAAAUUCUCAGAUGGUUCAGUAUCAAACUUUUCUUCCAAACUUUAGAACAGUUAAGGUAAAAUAAAGUACUUGGCAAACUUUAAAACGUAGCCAUUUUAGUUAGACAAUCAAUAAUAAAAAGCAUAAAAUUAACUUGAGAAAAUGCAUAAGAGAAAAGGAGAAAAAGUGAAAGAAAGUAUAAGAGUAGCAAGCUUUAAAAUCACCACCUGUGGAUCCAGAAAUGAGACCUGAUUGUUGAAAUUUUGAGGUCUCUUGGUCAAAGCGAUGUAGCAGUCUUGAUCCACCAGGGGUGGGGGAAGCCUUCAAUUUGGAGUAAGAAAAAUAGUUGCAUUAUUUAAUACCUAAUGAUAUUCUCGGAUGAAAAAAAAAGUUACACAUUUUAAAGAAUGCAUGAACAAUAGCUGUGGUGAUAACAUCUAACUCUUAUCUAGCAAUUUACAUUCAGAAAUGUUAUGUUUUGCUAAGGAUGUGUAAUUUAAGUCAAUUUUUUUAAAGAAUACUAGGAUUUUGUACAGAUGCAUGUGUAUUUAUGUGUUUACUGGGGAAUAAAACUGAUUUUUAUAGAUUAGGACUUUGGAGCACAAGAUAGUGAAGUGUCUUGUCUUAGGUAUCAGCAAAGAUGAAAAGAACAAUACCAUUUGAAUAAAGGAACAUGAAAAAGACCAAUUUAUAACAGCAAAUGAGCAUGGAAUUCACAGGAGCCAUCUAUUCUACAGAAACUCUCUGUAGGAACUGAGAGUCCAUGGGAAAAAGACAGUGCCUUUUUUUCAUUUUUCUUUCUAUGAAAAAGAGAACAGGCUACUUGGUUUUUAUUAAAGGGGGGGGAAAUGCACACAGUCUGACAAUAUUUGCAUUCUCUUUUACUCAACUGUAAUUUUCUUGUCCACUCUGGAGAUUUGAAUUAAAUUCAUUUUUUAUUGUAAAGCCAUAUAAACCUCAAGAAAACUAGUUUUCUCUGCCUCUCCUUCUCUGCAUAUGUAUUUAUAUAGAGAUAUGUCUUUUUUGUUUGUUUAUUUAUUUCUACUUCUGACUCAACACAGCUGUGUAAAAAUAGUGUACUUUGAGUGCUUAUACUUUUCAUCCCUGUAAUUAAUACACAGGAAAGAAAGCAUUGAGAUAAGUGGAACAAUAUAAUAAAACGGUUUAAAUGGGAUACUUUUAGAAAAAGAAAUAUUUUGCAGGAAUGAAAGCUUUUCCAUCUAAAUUAUACCAUGUAAUCUAAACUGGUUUUAAGCUUAAAAAACAUGCAAAUUACAGAAAAUCUGGAAGAAGGGAUUGGCUGGACACAAGAAAAACUCUGCCAUGUGCAGGAGGAGCUUUUAGAAGAGCAGUCUCAGGCGAUAAUUCUCCAGCCGAACUAGGGCUCAGUGAAAAAACUGAUAAAAUGCUAUAGUACUCAGGUAGUAGCCUCAAUACAGUAUAUGAAAUUGAAGCUUAAUAUUUGAAGUAAUGUAAAUGAAUGUUCCUAGAUUAUUAUUCCACUAGGAAAGGAAAUAUUAUUUAAAUAACAUUACCAGUAAAAUUAACUUUCAGCACAUGAGAGUUAUUACUGAAAAUAUUUAGCCAACAUAAAAGAACAUCUUUUUAAUUUCUUGUGGGUGGGAUUCAUCUUGUCUAACUUCAGAUUUCCACUUUAGGUGGAUAUACAGGAGGGAGGUCCCUAAGUUCCCAUUAUGGUUGUUGGAGACUUUAUCAAUUCAGAGAGUGGAACCAAGAGCUGAGCAAACAUCAAACCAAUCGAGUAUUAAAGUGUGUUUUCUUGCCAGUCUAAAAAAGUCUGCAGACAAACAUUCAACCAGGCCUCUACUCCAUGCAAUGGAAGAAUAUGUAUGCAGUCACACAUAAUCAACUAAAUACAGAUGCAAAAAUUGAUGAUCUGGUGAGUUACCUUUUCCCAAUAACUCAUUAAAUGCUACAAAUUAAUUAAUUAUUUGUUUGUCAUUAUUAAAUGUUUCACAUGCAUUAAUACAGGUCAUUUCUCUGAAAAAUAAUAUAUAAAUACAAGGAUUUAAAAGGGAGUGAUUUAUGACAUAGAGGAAAAAAAUUAAAAUAAUAGAUGGUCUUUCCUGUGUCUGUGUCUUUUCUUGUUUUAUAUUUAGGGUCUUUUUUUUUCUUGUAUUUGGAUUUUUUGUUUGA
This is a long non-coding RNA of Motacilla alba alba, 5499 nucleotides long. RefSeq lists it as uncharacterized. NCBI's taxonomy places the organism in Eukaryota, Metazoa, Chordata, Aves, Passeriformes, Motacillidae. The record is from RefSeq and is a predicted model, not a curated record. The transcript is spliced from 3 exons.